This 27-nucleotide non-coding RNA is filed under the name Homo sapiens (human). Lineage: Eukaryota; Metazoa; Chordata; Mammalia; Primates; Hominidae. The record is from RNAcentral.
UGAAAACAUUAAACCUGUUGGGAUGGA